GAUGAAGAACGUAGCGAAAUGCGAUAAGUAAUGUGAAUUGCAGAAUUCAGUGAAUCAUCGAAUCUUUGAACGCACCUUGCGCCCUUUGGUAUUCCGAAGGGCAUGCCUGUUUGAGUGUCAUGAAACCUCACCCCCUUGGGUUUUUGCCUGAGCGGUGGUGUAUUGGGUGUUGCCUUGCUAAAGGCUCGCCUUAAAGACAUAAGCACCUUGGAUGUAAUACGUUUCAUCCUUCUGGGUGGCUGAUAACCCCACAUAUUCAUGAUCUGGCCUCAAAUCAGGUAGGGCUACCCGCUGAACUUAAGCAUAUCAAUAAGCGGAGGA
Molecule: unclassified non-coding RNA, 321 nt
Filed under: soil metagenome
Description: partial contains 5.8S ribosomal RNA, internal transcribed spacer 2, and large subunit ribosomal RNA
Rfam family: 5.8S ribosomal RNA (bases 1-120)
Source: RNAcentral